AUUGAACGCUGGCGGCAGGCCUAACACAUGCAAGUCGAACGGUAACAGGAAGACGCUUGCUUCUUUGCUGACGAGUGGCGGACGGGUGAGUAAUGUCUGGGAAACUGCCUGAUGGAGGGGGAUAACUACUGGAAACGGUAGCUAAUACCGCAUAACGUCGCAAGCCCAAAGAGGGGGACCUUCGGGCCUCUUGCCAUCGGAUGUGCCCAGAUGGGAUUAGCUAGUAGGUGGGGUAACGGCUCACCUAGGCGACGAUCCCUAGCUGGUCUGAGAGGAUGACCAGCCACACUGGAACUGAGACACGGUCCAGACUCCUACGGGAGGCAGCAGUGGGGAAUAUUGCACAAUGGGGGCAAGCCUGAUGCAGCCAUGCCGCGUGUAUGAAGAAGGCCUUCGGGUUGUAAAGUACUUUCAGCGGGGAGGAAGGGAGUAAAGUUAAUACCUUUGCUCAUUGACGUUACCCGCAGAAGAAGCACCGGCUAACUACGUG
RNAcentral lists this ribosomal RNA (490 nucleotides) under uncultured bacterium. RNAcentral describes it as "partial 16S ribosomal RNA". It matches the Rfam family "Bacterial small subunit ribosomal RNA", at positions 30 to 507 of the family's 1533-position model. The record is from RNAcentral.